Molecule: long non-coding RNA, 513 nt
Organism: Papaver somniferum (opium poppy)
Lineage: Eukaryota; Viridiplantae; Streptophyta; Magnoliopsida; Ranunculales; Papaveraceae
Exons: 4
Source: RefSeq, a predicted model, not a curated record
GUCAAACGCCAUUGUUUCGUCGUUGCUUCUCUCUUCUAGGUUUGAUUUUUACUUUUUCGAUGUCUGAUAAGCUCUUUGUUUGUUUUACAGUUUGAUUGGCAUUAUCCAAAACAAGCCCGACGGCACGAUGAAAUUGGUAUCUUGAUUGGCAUUAUCCAAAAUAAGCCCCAUUGCAUGAAGAAAUUGGAUAGAUGGUGCCAACGAAGAGAAAGAAGAAGGAUUGUGUGUCAACCAACGAAGUUACGGGCAUCGAUAGGCGAAAAUGUAUGACUUAAUUGUACCGUGUCCAGAAAUUGAAGAUACACUGAUUUAACAGGUAAUUUGUGCCAAAACCUUGGUACUGGCUUACCCUCAAAUCUCAAUGGUUCCCAUCCAACGCUCUCAAUGCUGAAGCAUUACGGAAGUUUCUAUUGCGAAAGUUCUUCUUUGCUGUGUAAUAACUCAAAUGAGGAUAUUGUACACAUUUUUUUACAAUGUAAAUCUGCAUAUAUACUAUUUUGUGUUUAUCGGACA